GAAAGAUGAAAAGAACUUUGAAAAGAGAGUUAAACAGUACGUGAAAUUGUUGAAAGGGAAACGAUUAAAGUCAGUCGUACCUACGAGUAAUCAACCUACUCGAGUGCGAUUUUGUGGGUAUGUUAGAGUUUAAACCUUCAUGCUUACAAAUUGGUACUCUUUGGGCGUACUUUCUCGUAUGGUAGGUUAACAUCAAUUUCGAUCGUUAUAAAAUGACUGGAGGAAUGUAGCUUCGACUUCGGUUGAAGUGUUAUA
This 255-nucleotide ribosomal RNA is filed under the name uncultured Glomeraceae. RNAcentral's name for it is "partial large subunit ribosomal RNA". It matches the Rfam family "Eukaryotic large subunit ribosomal RNA", at positions 359 to 630 of the family's 3401-position model. Lineage: Eukaryota; Fungi; Glomeromycota; Glomeromycetes; Glomerales; Glomeraceae. The record is from RNAcentral.